AGAGUUUGAUCCUGGCUCAGAUUGAACGCUGGCGGCAUGCCUUACACAUGCAAGUCGAACGGCAGCACGGGAGCAAUCCUGGUGGCGAGUGGCGAACGGGUGAGUAAUAUAUCGGAACGUGCCCAGUCGUGGGGGAUAACGCAGCGAAAGCUGUGCUAAUACCGCAUACGAUCUCUGGAUGAAGGCGGGGGACCUGCAAGGGCCUCGCGCGAUUGGAGCGGCCGAUAUCAGAUUAGCUAGUUGGUGGGGUAAAAGCUCACCAAGGCGACGAUCUGUAGCUGGUCUGAGAGGACGACCAGCCACGCUGGAACUGAGACACGGUCCAGACUCCUACGGGAGGCAGCAGUGGGGAAUUUUGGACAAUGGGCGCAAGCCUGAUCCAGCAAUGCCGCGUGCAGGAUGAAGGCCUUCGGGUUGUAAACUGCUUUUGUACGGAACGAAAAGGCUCUUUUUAAUAAAGAGGGCUCAUGACGGUACCGUAAGAAUAAGCACCGGCUAACUACGUGCCAGCAGCCGCGGUAAUACGUAGGGUGCGAGCGUUAAUCGGAAUUACUGGGCGUAAAGCGUGCGCAGGCGGUUUUGUAAGACAGAUGUGAAAUCCCCGGGCUCAACCUGGGACCUGCAUUUGUGACUGCAAGGCUAGAGUACGGUAGAGGGGGAUGGAAUUCCGCGUGUAGCAGUGAAAUGCGUAGAUAUGCGGAGGAACACCGAUGGCGAAGGCAAUCCCCUGGACCUGUACUGACGCUCAUGCAC
Molecule: ribosomal RNA, 753 nt
Filed under: uncultured bacterium
Lineage: Bacteria
Description: SSU rRNA
Rfam family: Bacterial small subunit ribosomal RNA
Source: RNAcentral